RNAcentral lists this ribosomal RNA (1978 nucleotides) under human gut metagenome. Its description in RNAcentral is "bacterial LSU rRNA". It matches the Rfam family "Bacterial large subunit ribosomal RNA", at positions 1 to 1985 of the family's 2925-position model. The record is from RNAcentral.
UUAAAUUAGUAAGGGCGCAUGGAGGAUGCCUUGGCACUAGAAGCUUAAGAAGGACGUGACAAACAACGAUAUGCUUCGGGGAGCAGUAAGUAUGCUAUGAUCCGGAGAUUUCCGAAUGGGGGAACCCACUAAUGGUAAUGCAUUAGUAUCCUAUAAUGAAUAUAUAGUUAUAGAGAAAGCAACCCGGUGAACUGAAACAUCUAAGUACCCGGAGGAAAAGAAAGAAAAAUCGAUUCCCUGAGUAGUGGCGAGCGAAAGGGGAGUAGCCCAAACCAGCUAGACUGGGGUUGUAGGACCUAGAAUACGGAGUAAAAAAUUCUUAUUAUAGAUGAAAUAUUUGGGAAAGUAUACCAAAGAAGGUGAGAGUCCUGUAAUCGAAAUAAUAAGAACUCCUCUAGGAAUCCUGAGUACGGCGAGGCACGUGGAACCUUGUCGGAAGCAGCGGGGACCAUCCCGCAAGGCUAAAUACUCUCUAGUGACCGAUAGUGAACAAGUACCGUGAGGGAAAGGUGAAAAGAACCCCGGGAGGGGAGUGAAAUAGAAACUGAAACCAUGUGCUUACAAAAAGUCAGAGCUCGUUAAUGAGUGAUGGCGUGCCUUUUGCAGAAUGAACCGGCGAGUUAAUGUUGCAUGCGAGGUUAAGUAGAAAAUACGGAGCCGAAGGGAAACCGAGUCUUAAUAGGGCGAAACAGUAUGUAGUAUUAGACCCGAAACCGAGUGAUCUAGCCAUGAGCAGGUUGAAGUUCUGGUAACACAGAAUGGAGGACCGAACCGACGUACCCGGAAACGUGCGCGGAUGACUUGUGGCUAGCGGUGAAAUUCCAAUCGAACUCGGAUAUAGCUGGUUCUCCCCGAAAUAGGUUUAGGCCUAGCCUUGAGAUAAAGCCACAUGGAGGUAGAGCACUGAAUGUGUGAUGGCACCGUCUAGGUGUACUGAAUGCAAUCAAACUCCGAAUGCCAUGUGAGUAUGCUCAGGAGUCACCGUGCGGGUGAUAACGUCCGUACGGGAAAGGAAAAGAGUCCAAGAUCGUCGAAUAAGGUCCCAAAAUUUGUGCUAAGUGGAAAAGGAUGUGGAGUUGUCAAAACAGCUAGGAGGUUGGCUUAGAAGCAGCCAUCCUUUAAAGAGUGCGUAAUAGCUCACUAGUCGAGUGACACUGCGCCGAAAAUGUACCGGGGCUAAGCACAAUACCGAAGUCACGGAUUCAUGUUAAACAUGAGUGGUAGGGGAGCGUUCCAAGGGCGGAGAAGGUUGACCGUGAGGACAGCUGGAGCGCUUGGAAGUGAGAAUGCCGGUGUGAGUAGCGCAAGCUGGGUGAGAAUCCCGGCCACCGUUUGCCUAAGGGUUCCUGGGGAAGGUUCGUCCUCCCAGGGUUAGUCGGGUCCUAAGACGAGGCUGAAAAGCGUAGCCGAUGGACAACAGGUUGAUAUUCCUGUACUACCUAUAUAACUGAAGGAAUGACGAAGAAGGCUAGUAAGAGCUAGUUAUUGGAUUCUAGUCUAAAUACAAAGGCUGAUUAGUAGGGAAAUCCGUUAAUCGAUAAGGCUGAAGUAUGAUGGUGAAGGAGCUUGCUCCGAAGUCUUAUGACGCCAAGCUUCCAAGAAAAGUUUCUAGGGUUAAUUAUAUAGGUACCCGUACCGAGAACCGACACAGGUGGGCAAGGAGAGUAUCCUAAGGUGAGCGAGAGAACUAUGGUUAAGGAACUCGGCAAAAUGACCCCGUAACUUUGGGAUAAGGGGUGGUCAAGCGAUUGACCCGCAGUAAAGAGGUCCAGGCAACUGUUUACCAAAAACACAGGUUUCUGCCAAGCCGCAAGGCGAAGUAUAGGAGCUGACACCUGCCCGGUGCUGGAAGGUUAAGAGGAUGGCUUAGAAAUGAGGAAACUCGAAUAUUUCGAAGGUCAGAAUUGAAGCCCCAGUGAACGGCGGCCGUAACUAUAACGGUCCUAAGGUAGCGAAAUUCCUUGUCAGGUAAGUUCUG